UGUAUCGUCCUUCUUUCAGGAGAUUCUACGAGCAGUAUGGGACAGGUCCUCGAGUUAUCGACCUUUCCAAGCCAUACUUUGUUUCUACAUGUCAGAGAUUUGUGGAGAAGUAUGAAGAGUUAAGAAGCAAGUGUGAGCUGAAGGAGUCUCCCCUGUUUGAAGAGACCGGGAAGGCUUUGCUUGCAGAGGGGGUUAUCUUAAGAAAGAGAGGAGCUCUCCCAGCGCCUGCCGAGUCCAGGAAUCCAGUGCUGGAGCUGAAGCUUAUAGACAUGUUGGCAGAGCAGCAGUCGGUCCAGGAGACAUGAAGGCCACGGCACAUCACAGGACAUGAGCGUCGCCCAAAAAGAUUCUGGGAUGAGCUGCUGGUCCUCACUCUGCAUUACGUUGUGUUUCAAGAUGUGAUUGGAUUUCUGCUUCUCUUGUAGACUGUGUCAGAAGUGUUAAAUCCCAGUGAUGAGGUUACAUGAACGUGUCAGACUGCUGCAGUGGCACCAUGAGCCACAUUCAGUCGCAUUAUUCAGAGUUGGUCUUGAGUGAAAGGAGAAGUUCCUCAACUGAGUUUGUUAAUGUG
Molecule: long non-coding RNA, 571 nt
Organism: Salarias fasciatus (jewelled blenny)
Lineage: Eukaryota; Metazoa; Chordata; Actinopteri; Blenniiformes; Blenniidae
Exons: 3
Source: RefSeq, a predicted model, not a curated record